UACGUAGGGUGCGAGCGUUAAUCGGAAUUAUUGGGCGUAAAGCGUGCGCAGGCGGUUCUAUAAGACAGAUGUGAAAUCCCCGGGCUUAACCUGGGAACUGCGUUUGUGACUGUAGGACUUGAGUGUGGCAGAGGGGGGUGGAAUUCCACGUGUAGCAGUGAAAUGCGUAGAUAUGUGGAGGAACAUCGAUGGCGAAGGCAGCCCCCUGGGUUAACACUGACGCUCAUGCACGAAAGCGUGGGGAGCAAACAGG
RNAcentral lists this ribosomal RNA (253 nucleotides) under uncultured bacterium. Its description in RNAcentral is "partial 16S ribosomal RNA". It matches the Rfam family "Bacterial small subunit ribosomal RNA", at positions 524 to 776 of the family's 1533-position model. The record is from RNAcentral.